GAACUUAUAAUUUAAUGGUAAAAUAUUCUUCUCAUAAAAGUUAAAAUGUGGGUUCGAAUCCUACUUGGUUCA
RNAcentral lists this transfer RNA (72 nucleotides) under Rhizaria sp. RNAcentral's name for it is "tRNA-Met". It matches the Rfam family "tRNA". From Rfam's summary of the family: Transfer RNA (tRNA) molecules are approximately 80 nucleotides in length. The record is from RNAcentral.